UACACUCCUGCGGGAGGCAGCAGUGGGGAAUAUUGGACAAUGGGGGCAACCCUGAUCCAGCCAUGCCGCGUGAGUGAUGAAGGCCCUAGGGUUGUAAAGCUCUUUUGUGCGGGAAGAUAAUGACGGUACCGCAAGAAUAAGCCCCGGCUAACUUCGUGCCAGCAGCCGCGGUAAUACGAAGGGGGCUAGCGUUGCUCGGAAUCACUGGGCGUAAAGGGUGCGUAGGCGGGUCUUUAAGUCAGGGGUGAAAUCCUGGAGCUCAACUCCAGAACUGCCUUUGAUACUGAGGAUCUUGAGUCCGGAAGAGGUGAGUGGAACUGCGAGUGUAGAGGUGAAAUUCGUAGAUAUUCGCAAGAACACCAGUGGCGAAGGCGGCUCACUGGUCCGGUACUGACGCUGAGGCACGAAAGCGUGGGGAGCAAACAGGAUUAGAAACCCCUGUAGUCCCAUG
RNAcentral lists this ribosomal RNA (451 nucleotides) under uncultured organism. RNAcentral describes it as "partial 16S ribosomal RNA". It matches the Rfam family "Bacterial small subunit ribosomal RNA", at positions 332 to 799 of the family's 1533-position model. The record is from RNAcentral.